UACAGAGGUCUCAAGCGUUGUUCGGAAUUACUGGGCGUAAAGCGUGCGCAGGCGGCUUUGCAAGACAGAUGUGAAAUCCCCGGGCUUAACCUGGGAACUGCAUUUGUGACUGCAUGGCUAGAGUGCGGCAGAGGGGGAUGGAAUUCCGCGUGUAGCAGUGAAAUGCGUAGAUAUGCGGAGGAACACCGAUGGCGAAGGCAAUCCCCUGGGCCUGCACUGACGCUCAUGCACGAAAGCGUGGGGAGCAAACAGG
RNAcentral lists this ribosomal RNA (253 nucleotides) under uncultured bacterium. RNAcentral describes it as "partial 16S ribosomal RNA". It matches the Rfam family "Bacterial small subunit ribosomal RNA", at positions 524 to 776 of the family's 1533-position model. The record is from RNAcentral.